CUGACAACGCGAGAAACAUGGUUGUGGCGGGAGUAGAGGCCGAGAUGUCCCCUCACCUUUUUUGCUUUGCGCACACAUUAAAUCUGGCUGCCCAGAAGGCCUUGCAUGUGACCACUGCUACGAAGGUGCUUGGGAAAGUGAGGAGGGUGGUUGGAUUUUUCCACCGUAACAUAGCAGGUGCUGAACUACUGCGACAAAAACAACAGCAAAUGGCAUUGCCCUCCCACAAGCUCAUCAAUGACGUUACUACCCGGUGGAACAGUUCCCACGACAUGCUCGAACGUUUUUUGGAGCAACAAUCUGCAGUUUUUGCCACACUUAUGUCAAGGGAGCUCAGAAAAGGAGAAGAUGUAAGCGCUCUUACUGAAGGAGACCUCUGCAAUGCUGAGGACAUGGUGAAAGUGAUGGCACCUGUCAAAGUUAUCACCACAGUUAUGUGCAAAGAUGAGCAGCCCACAAUUUCGUUGAUUGCCCCCUUCAAAGCAAAACUAAAGAAUCACUUUGAGGCCACUACUGAGGACACAGGGCUCAUUAAGGAUAUGAAGAAGGUGUUCCUCGAAGAUUUUGUUAAGCGGUACACAAACAUUGAAGACCUGUUGUGUACUGCAUCAGCUUUGGAUCCACGCUUCAAAACCCUUUCCUCAGUGACCGUGAGACCGAGAGGAUCUUCUUGUCCAUUACAAAUGAAGCUACAAACCUGCAUGAUAAGAAAGUAGAGGAGAGCCAUCCCAGUCCGAGUGAUAUUCAAGAGCCAGAUCAGAGAGACCCAACAUCCGUCCAGUCCAGCCCAGUCCAGGUCCAUGAAGAACCAAGAGGUGAUUGUCCUCCAUGUAAAAAGAGGAAAAGUACAGCACUGGACCAGCUGUUUGGAGAAACAUAUGUGGUAAGACCAUCAAGAAGCUCCAGGGAGAAGGUCAGCGAGGAAAUCCUGAGGUACAGAGAGAGAAACCUUUUGCCCCUGAAUGGCAAUCCACUGGAGUGGUGGAGAGCACAGGUGGACUUACCAUUGUUGUCAGAUAUUGCAAAAAGAUACCUCUGCAUACCAGCUACAAGUGUAGCAUCAGAAAGAGUUUUCAGUACCGCAGGAGAUAUUGUUUCCUCUCAACGCAGUGUACUUAGGGGUGACCAUGCCGAUCAAUUGAUUUUUCUCAAGAAGAAUCUUAAAGAACUCGAGCACAAAUGAAUUAUUAGGAGGUAGCUAAAGGAUAUCAGCAUACACUAAAUGUCCUACAAGAACAUACAUCUAACUAAAAGAGGAAACUGAAUCUAAAAAAAAGGGAUUGUAUUAGUUCUACUUAUAUAUAUAUUUUUUCUCCUUAUGCUGUGUUUGGCAGCAAUUUGUGCCAUUACAUUAAAGUAAUAAUCUAGGCCAGGAUGGCGGUUUUGGUUUAAACAAAAUUAGAUAUUUCCUAUUGCUGCUUCUUACAGUUCACAGCUUUACUUCGUGUUUGCAGUGAUAUUUCCUAGCUUCUUACAGUUCGCAGCUCUAUUUGUGUUCUCAGUGAAAGGUUGCACAUGUAUUAAUUGGUAUAAUGAUACCUUAUCUUGAGUCUGUAUGAUUUGCAGAGGCACUUAAUUUGCAGAAGCAUUUAUUCUAAAUAUGAGAAAAGGCCAAGGUCUAGCUGUUUUAUUUUAUUUUUGUAUUGUCAUCCAUCAACAAGGGACUUCUUUGGGUAUAGAAAAUAUAUUUUAUUUUAUUUAAUAUUUAAAUAUAAUUGUUUUGUAUUUCCUUAUGGUGUAUUUAUUUGGCUGCAAUGUGUGCCAUUACUGAAAUGUAUUUUUUUUUUUGUAUAUGUGAG
Molecule: RNA transcript, 1799 nt
Organism: Gadus chalcogrammus (walleye pollock)
Lineage: Eukaryota; Metazoa; Chordata; Actinopteri; Gadiformes; Gadidae
Gene name: zinc finger BED domain-containing protein 4-like
Exons: 3
Source: RefSeq, a predicted model, not a curated record